This 342-nucleotide unclassified non-coding RNA is filed under the name soil metagenome. RNAcentral's name for it is "partial contains 5.8S ribosomal RNA, internal transcribed spacer 2, and large subunit ribosomal RNA". The stretch from base 1 to 120 matches the Rfam family "5.8S ribosomal RNA", at positions 35 to 154 of the family's 154-position model. The record is from RNAcentral.
GAUGAAGAACGUAGCGAAAUGCGAUAAGUAGUGUGAAUUGCAGAAUUCAGUGAAUCAUCGAAUCUUUGAACGCACAUUGCGCCCUUUGGUAUUCCAAAGGGCAUGCCUGUUCGAGCGUCAUUUGUACCCUCAAGCUUUGCUUGGUGUUGGGCGUCUUGUCUCUAGCUUUGCUGGAGACUCGCCUUAAAGUAAUUGGCAGCCGGCCUACUGGUUUCGGAGCGCAGCACAAGUCGCACUCUCUAUCAGCAAAGGUAUAGCAUCCAUUAAGCCUUUUUUUUCAACUUUUGACCUCGGAUCAGGUAGGGAUACCCGCUGAACUUAAGCAUAUCAAUAAGCGGAGGA